Molecule: ribosomal RNA, 462 nt
Filed under: uncultured bacterium
Lineage: Bacteria
Description: bacterial SSU rRNA
Rfam family: Bacterial small subunit ribosomal RNA
Source: RNAcentral
AACGAACGCUGGCGGCAUGCCUAACACAUGCAAGUCGAACGGGAUCCUGGCUUCGGCCAGGUGAGAGUGGCGGACGGGUGAGUAACGCGUGGGAACCUGCCCAUUGGUCUGGGAUAACUGCGGGAAACUGCAGCUAAUACCGGAUGUACCCCGAGAGGGGAAAGAUUUAUCGCCGAUGGAGGGGCCCGCGUCAGAUUAGGUAGUUGGUGAGGUAACGGCUCACCAAGCCUACGAUCUGUAGCUGGUCUGAGAGGAUGAUCAGCCACACUGGGACUGAGAUACGGCCCAGACUCCUACGGGAGGCAGCAGUGGGGAAUAUUGGACAAUGGGGGCAACCCUGAUCCAGCAAAGACCGCGUGAGUGAUGAAGGCCUUAGGGUUGUAAAGCUCUUUUACCAGGGACGAUGAUGACGGUACCUGGAGAAUAAGCCCCGGCUAACUUCGUGCCAGCAGCCGCGGUAAU